CACGUAGGAGGCAAGCGUUAUUCGGAUUUACUGGGCGUAAAGCGCACGCAGGCGGUUCGAUAAGUUGGAUGUGAAAGCUCCUGGCUUAACUGGGAGAGGUCGUUCAAUACUAUCGGACUUGAGGAUGAGAGAGGGAGGUGGAAUUCCGGGAGUAGUGGUGGAAUGCGUAGAUAUUCGGAGGAACACCAGUGGCGAAAGCGGCCUCCUGGCUCAUAACUGACGCUCAUGUGCGAAAGCUAGGGUAGCAAACGGG
Molecule: ribosomal RNA, 253 nt
Filed under: uncultured bacterium
Lineage: Bacteria
Description: partial 16S ribosomal RNA
Rfam family: Bacterial small subunit ribosomal RNA
Source: RNAcentral